AGGGUUAAGGAAAGCCCGUGAGAUGCACCCAUUGGAUGGUGAGAUCAGUAGGAAAAUAAGGAAAAAAGGAGAAGGGAGAUAGAAGGAAUAGGAAAUAAUAGGAGAACAAGGCAGGGGGAAGAAAGCAGGAAGAAGGGAAGAGGAACAGAGAAUAAGGAUGGCAGAACCCUUAGAUGUACACAUUGAUGUCAUCCAUGGUGCAGCAUCCACUUCCUCUUUGGGUGGUGGUUGCCAGGGGAAGGAGAGGUGCUGGAAUAGCCAGACAAUUAGGACAUGAUCUUCCCAAGAUUUUUAAUAUAAGAGCUUUAAUGAGAUAAUUCACACACCAAAAAAUUCACCAAACUAGAUUGCGCAAUUCAAUGGUGUUUUGUAUAUUCAGGAACUGUACAACCAUUAGCACAAUCCAUUUCAGAAUACUUUCAUCAUCCCCCCAAAAGAAACCCCAUACCCAUUAGUAGUCACUCCCAUUCCCUCCUGCCUGCCCCAGCCCUAGGCAACACCAAUCGACUUUCUGUCUGUAGGGAUUCACCUAUUCUGGGCAUUUCAUAGAGAUGGAAUCAUACAGUACGUGAUCCUUUGUGACUAGCUUCUAGCAUGAUGUUUUCAAGGUUCAUCCAUAUUGUAGCCUAUGUUAGUAACUUCCUAAAUUUCCUAAUUCAGAGGCAAGAAGGUGAAAGAAAGGAGCUUAAUAUCCUCCCACAUAAGCAAGUGUCAUGAUGGAAACUGUCCCACUGUUCACCCCAAGAAAUCCCACUGAUCCAGUUUAGUCAUUAAUAUACACACUUAAGAUAUCAGGCAGCUGGAUUCUUUCAUUUUUACCAUCAGGGAAACCGAAGCACAGUGAAAUGAUGUUUUCGAGUGUGGGCCUUUUGCACCCUCCACACACCUCUCAUGAAAAAAAGAAAAUGAAAUAGGCUCCAAGUGUAAGGGUCUCUUGUCUCUUGGUUUUUAUGAUUUAGAUUUAAUGUUAAGAGACAAAUAAGGGUCUCCUGGUAGUCUGUCCAUAUGUCUCUCUCUUACCUCUCCAAAGUGACAAUUCCCAGUUCAAUUUUUACAAUGUAAAAGAAUGACUCUCCUCUAAUGGUUAUCUGUCAUUGUUUAUGUUUAAAGUAAUUUUAUAUGUUAAGACUGUAGCCUUAGGAUGCGGGAAAGCAGAAAGCAGUACCCUUGGGCCAAACGCAGUUUCUGAGGUUGGAGGAGCUUCUAAUCUGGAUUGAAAAGGACGCGGCUAGUCAUUGGACUUAGAAAACAUAAACCACCUUUCUUCUAUAACUGAAGUGAGAUGUGUCCCUAAGGGAAGCUACUUGGAGAGUUACGGGAAUGACCAGGCACUAUGCUCAUGAAGCAUCUCAUUUAAUCCUUGCAAGAACCUGAUGGAGUGGAUUCUAGCAUUAUUGACAGUUUUUCUAAGAGGAAACCGAAGGCUUAAUGAGGACAGAAAAUUGAUGCUGACAGCAAGGGCCAAGAAGAGAGCUUGGGAAGCAGGGAGCUGACUUGCACAAGAGGCUUUUAAAACUCCUUUCUCCAAAUUUGAGGGAGGCAUAAGGCUUGCCAAUUCCAACAUGGGCAAUGAAAACUUUGGGAAGUCCAAGGAGAUGGCCUGAAGAAAAUGGAGUGAGAAAGCCAUACUCUACCUUGGAUGAUUGUUUUUGCAGAAGCUGAUUUGGGUAUGAUACACAUAUGUGUGCAUGUACACACACAUACAUACACAUAC
RNAcentral lists this long non-coding RNA (1714 nucleotides) under Homo sapiens (human). RNAcentral describes it as "HSALNT0297794". Lineage: Eukaryota; Metazoa; Chordata; Mammalia; Primates; Hominidae. The record is from RNAcentral.